Molecule: non-coding RNA, 108 nt
Filed under: Neobacillus niacini
Lineage: Bacteria; Bacillati; Bacillota; Bacilli; Caryophanales; Bacillaceae
Description: Bacillus niacini TPP sequence
Rfam family: TPP riboswitch aptamer (THI element)
About the family: Vitamin B(1) in its active form thiamin pyrophosphate (TPP) is an essential coenzyme that is synthesised by coupling of pyrimidine and thiazole moieties in bacteria.
Source: RNAcentral
UACUAGCACUGGGGGAGCCGGAAUUGGCUGAGAUUAGACUUGUAGUGGUCUUAAACCCCUGAACCUGAUCUGGGUUAUACCAGCGUAGGGAAGUGAACGAUCCAAUGC